GAUUUGCUAAAAAGAGGAUUUGCUAAAGAGAGGAUUAGAGAAUACUAAUUGGAGUUGCUUGGUGGUGAAGCAAGCUUAGUGGAGAAGAAGGCUUGGAAUUGAGCUACUUCCUUCAUCUUCUUCAUCACUUGGAUUAGAGAAGAAAGCUUGUUUAAGGUAAAACCGAUGCGGAGGAUCAUUCGGAUUGAGAUUCCGUUGAGCCGAUGGUGGUCAAAGUGAAGAAAAUUCUAUUUGCUUCAAUUGUCACAGUUGGAAGAAAUCAUCGGCCAUAAAUCGUGCUGCUAGGCUACUCGCUUCGUGUUGACAUCACGAGAGCCUAGUUCGAGCGCGUGUGUCGAGGAUCGCGGCAAGGGCGUCGCGCAGUAGAUAGAGUGGAUCACCGGCGUUAGCUCCCUACCCUCGAGAAUAAAAAAGAAAA
This is a long non-coding RNA of Ananas comosus (pineapple), 418 nucleotides long. RefSeq lists it as uncharacterized. NCBI's taxonomy places the organism in Eukaryota, Viridiplantae, Streptophyta, Magnoliopsida, Poales, Bromeliaceae. The record is from RefSeq and is a predicted model, not a curated record. The transcript has 3 exons.